GAUGAACGCUGGCGGCGUGCUUAACACAUGCAAGUCGAGCGGGCAAUUUAUCUAGCACUGAUUACUUCAAAUGGAAAUCAUAAGUGUAAUCAUGAAUUUCUACCUUUAAUAAAGAAAAAGAAAUUCAUGUACGCAAAUAGUGAUAACACAUUUUAGUGGAGUGAUGAGUGCUGGAUAAAUUGCUAGCGGCGGACGGGUGCGUAACACGUGGGUAACCUGCCCCUAUCACUGGGAUAACACACUGAAAAGUGUGCUAAUACCAGAUAACAUAAGCUUUUGGCAUCAUUAGCUUAUCAAAGAAUUUCGGAUAGGGAUGGGCCCGCGUCUGAUUAGCUAGUUGGUGAGGUAACGGCUCACCAAGGCAACGAUCAGUAGCCGACCUGAGAGGGUGAUCGGCCACACUGGAACUGAGACACGGCCCAGACUCCUACGGGAGGCAGCAGUGGGGAAUAUUGCACAAUGGGC
RNAcentral lists this ribosomal RNA (465 nucleotides) under uncultured bacterium. RNAcentral describes it as "bacterial SSU rRNA". It matches the Rfam family "Bacterial small subunit ribosomal RNA", at positions 28 to 376 of the family's 1533-position model. The record is from RNAcentral.